GCCAUGUUGGCCAGGCUGGUCUCGAACUCCUAACCUCAGCGGAUUCACCCACCUCCGCCUCCUAAAGUGCUGGGAUUACAGGCAUGAGCCACCGCGCCCGGCCAGGAGCACUGGACUGCAGACCAAGAGCUCUGGCUCCGGAAACUGGAGGCAUCCCUCUCCAUCCAAGACUGGCCUGCCAAGCUGCCUGCUUAGAAGGACUUUGGAAGCAAGACAGAGCAGUGUCUUCAUCAGAUACCUGCCAAGCUUUUGCAGCUGUUCCUGGAAGGAGACCCAGUUGAAAGGGGUUGUUAUGGACCAGGAACAGCUGGGAUCUUUAAUGAUCUGUGAGCAGCUUACAGCAAAGUUCCAACACCCUGAGUAUCAGUCCCCAAAUCCUUGGUCUUUGCAUUCCAACACAAAGUAAAAAGGAUUGAGCAGGGUUUUGGUUUUGGUUGCAAGUAACAGAAACCCAACGCUAAUUAAUAAACGGGAAAGUGUGUCAGUGGAAAUCUCCACAAGUCCGACGGAAAGAGAAAACUGCUUUCCCAAAGGGUGUAAGAGGAUGAAAGGCAUGUCAUCAGCUGAAUUGCAUCAGGUGUCCAUCUUGGAAUCAAUCACGGUGCCUCUUAUUAGCAAAGCCUGAGUCAUAGCCAGCAAGAAAACAGGGACCUUAAUCUUACGACCACAAGGAACUGGACUCUGCUACCAGAAUGAGCUGCAAGGGAGAUUCUUCCUCAGAAGCUUCAGAUAAGAACUCCACCUGGCUGACCUUUGAUUUUGGUUUUGUGAGAACUUUGGCAGAUAACCCAGGCAUGUGUCAUUUCACAUCUGCAUAAAAAGACAUGCUGAAGGAUGUUCCUUGCAGAAUGGUUAUAGAGAAAAAUGGGAAUAACCACGAUAUAAAGUAACAGUUGGUAUUGAAACUGGUAGAAAUUCCUCACUUUGUGCUUGACAUGUGGUUGGCACCAUUCCUGGUUCACGGCUGAUGUCCUACCCCCACCCCAUCUCCCUCCACUUUGGUAAUUUCAGCCGUUUUCCUGGAGGGGAG
This 1030-nucleotide long non-coding RNA is filed under the name Homo sapiens (human). Its description in RNAcentral is "HSALNT0142526". The record is from RNAcentral. Lineage: Eukaryota; Metazoa; Chordata; Mammalia; Primates; Hominidae.